Molecule: non-coding RNA, 521 nt
Organism: Cinara cedri
Lineage: Eukaryota; Metazoa; Arthropoda; Insecta; Hemiptera; Aphididae
Source: the annotation of a GenBank genome assembly
AAAAAACUUCGCUCCGAAUCGUUUUUCGUAAGUAAUAAUUUAUCGUCGGGUAUAGAUACAAAUUAAAUUCCCCUCUAUAUCCUACGUUCCCAAAUUAUUGGUUUUGCCAAAUUCAAAAUUUAAAUAACCUAUCGUCGUACGUGUCGAUUCAGUGUAGGUAUAGCUGGUAAUCUAAAUGUCCAAGUUCGAGAGGAGUGUGUCCCCUCAUCCGGCACCCCAUAUCUCCAUGGUAAAAUCUUCAGGUACACGCAUGUUUUCGUCACUCGCGUAAUUUUUUUUUUCGAAAUUCAAUCGCCGCGCAUAUACGCAAGACGAAUGUAGGUAUACUACACGGGCCACGCGAGAAUAUCGGUCAAUAAUCGGAUUAUACAAUAUUUUGCUUUGUGUGGUGCGCAGCAGUUACUCAAACAAUAUCGCCGCCAAUAACAUUGUCGCGAUUUCGGUAAACGAUUUUUCUCCGUACACAUCGUAAUAAUGUAACAUGUUGAUGGCGAUGAUGACGGUGUAUAGUCGCAUGGGCC